Molecule: ribosomal RNA, 634 nt
Filed under: Phyllotreta vittula
Lineage: Eukaryota; Metazoa; Arthropoda; Insecta; Coleoptera; Chrysomelidae
Description: SSU rRNA
Rfam family: Eukaryotic small subunit ribosomal RNA
Source: RNAcentral
GUACAAGCCAAAUUAAGGUGAAACCGCGAAAGGCUCAUUAAAUCAGUUAUGGUUCCUUAGAUCGUACCCACAUUUACUUGGAUAACUGUGGUAAUUCUAGAGCUAAUACAUGCAAAUAGAGCUCCGACCGGAGACGGAAGGAGCGCUUUUAUUAGAUCAAAACCAAUCGGUGUCGAGCACGCUCGUCAUCGUAAUACUUGGUGACUCUGAAUAACUUUUCGCUGAUCGCACGGUCUCGCACCGGCGACGCAUCUUUCAAAUGUCUGCCUUAUCAACUGUCGAUGGUAGGUUCUGCGCCUACCAUGGUUGUAACGGGUAACGGGGAAUCAGGGUUCGAUUCCGGAGAGGGAGCCUGAGAAACGGCUACCACAUCCAAGGAAGGCAGCAGGCGCGCAAAUUACCCACUCCCGGCACGGGGAGGUAGUGACGAAAAAUAACGAUACGGGACUCAUCCGAGGCCCCGUAAUCGGAAUGAGUACACUCUAAACCCUUUAACAAAAAUCAAUUGGAGGGCAAGUCUGGUGCCAGCAGCCGCGGUAAUUCCAGCUCCAAUAGCGUAUAUUAAAGUUGUUGCGGUUAAAAAGCUCGUAGUCGAAUCUGUGUCCCGCGCCGCCGGUUCAUCGUACGCGGUGUC